This 71-nucleotide transfer RNA is filed under the name Loxodonta africana (African savanna elephant). It matches the Rfam family "tRNA". From Rfam's summary of the family: Transfer RNA (tRNA) molecules are approximately 80 nucleotides in length. Their secondary structure includes four short double-helical elements and three loops (D, anti-codon, and T loops). Lineage: Eukaryota; Metazoa; Chordata; Mammalia; Proboscidea; Elephantidae. The record is from Rfam by way of RNAcentral.
ACACUGAUGGUUCAGUGGUAGAAUUCUUGCCUUCCUAGCAGGAGACCAGGGUUCGAUUCCCGGCCAAUGUA